GACGAACGCUGGCGGCGCGCUUAACACAUGCAAGUCGAGCGAGAACCAGGACUUCGGUCCUGGGGACAGCGGCGAACGGGUGAGUAACACGUGGAUAACCUGCCCUCGGCACCGGGAUAGCCCGGGGAAACCCGGAUUAAUACCGGAUGGCCCUUCCGGCUCACGAGCCGGUCGGAAAAGGUAGCUUCGGCCUCCGGCCGAGGAUGGGUCCGCGGCGGAUUAGCUUGUUGGUGGGGUAACGGCCUACCAAGGCUCCGAUCCGUAGCUGGUCUGAGAGGACGAACAGCCAAACUGGGACAGAGACACGGCCCAGACGCCUACGGGAGGCAGCAGUGGGGAAUCUUGCGCAAUGGGCGAAAGCCUGAUGCAGCGACGCCGCGUGAGGGAGGAAGGCCUUCGGGUUGUAAACCUCUUUCAGGAGAGACGAAGCCACUCGGGUUAAUAGCCUAGAGGGUGACGGUACCUCCAGAAGAAGUCCCGGCUAACUACGUGCCAGCCGCCGCCGUAA
RNAcentral lists this ribosomal RNA (508 nucleotides) under uncultured bacterium. RNAcentral describes it as "partial 16S ribosomal RNA". It matches the Rfam family "Bacterial small subunit ribosomal RNA", at positions 28 to 523 of the family's 1533-position model. The record is from RNAcentral.